This 273-nucleotide long non-coding RNA is filed under the name Homo sapiens (human). Its description in RNAcentral is "non-protein coding lnc-GATM-3:2". The record is from RNAcentral. Lineage: Eukaryota; Metazoa; Chordata; Mammalia; Primates; Hominidae.
AUGCCCAAGAGAAAGGCUGAAGGGGAUGCUAAAGAAGAUAAGGCCAAGAUAAAGGACAAACUACAGGGAAGAUCCACAAAGUUGUCUGGAAAGCCUGCUCUGCCAAAGCCACAGCUGAAGCCUAAAAAGGCCCCUACAAAAAAGGGAGAGAAAGUAUCCAAAGGGGAAAAAGGAAGAGCCAACUCUGACAAAGAGGUGAAUAAACCUGCAGAAAAUGGAGAUGCCAGAACGGAGAAGGCACAGAAAGCUGAAGGUGCUGGAGAUGCCAAGUGA